GGGUUGUGAGGUUAAGCGACUAAGCGUACACGGUGGAUGCCUAGGCAGUCAGAGGCGAUGAAGGGCGUGCUAAUCUGCGAAAAGCGUCGGUAAGCUGAUAUGAAGCGUUAUAACCGACGAUACCCGAAUGGGGAAACCCAGUGCAAUUCGUUGCACUAUUGCAUGGUGAAUACAUAGCCAUGCAAGGCGAACCGGGGGAACUGAAACAUCUAAGUACCCCGAGGAAAAGAAAUCAACCGAGAUUCCCCCAGUAGCGGCGAGCGAACGGGGAAGAGCCCAGAGUCUGAAUCAGUUUAUGUGUUAGUGGAAGCGUCUGGAAAGUCGCACGGUACAGGGUGAUAGUCCCGUACACAAAAAUGCAUAUUCUGUGAACUCGAUGAGUAGGGCGGGACACGUGACAUCCUGUCUGAAUAUGGGGGGACCAUCCUCCAAGGCUAAAUACUCCUGACUGACCGAUAGUGAACCAGUACCGUGAGGGAAAGGCGAAAAGAACCCCGGCGAGGGGAGUGAAAUAGAACCUGAAACCGUGUACGUACAAGCAGUGGGAGCACCUUCGUGGUGUGACUGCGUACCUUUUGUAUAAUGGGUCAGCGACUUAUAUUUUGUAGCAAGGUUAACCGAAUAGGGGAGCCGUAGGGAAACCGAGUCUUAACUGGGCGUCUAGUUGCAAGGUAUAGACCCGAAACCCGGUGAUCUAGCCAUGGGCAGGUUGAAGGUUGGGUAACACUAACUGGAGGACCGAACCGACUAAUGUUGAAAAAUUAGCGGAUGACUUGUGGCUGGGGGUGAAAGGCCAAUCAAACCGGGAGAUAGCUGGUUCUCCCCGAAAGCUAUUUAGGUAGCGCCUCGUGAACUCAUCUUCGGGGGUAGAGCACUGUUUCGGCUAGGGGGUCAUCCCGACUUACCAAACCGAUGCAAACUCCGAAUACCGAAGAAUGUUAUCACGGGAGACACACGGCGGGUGCUAACGUCCGUCGUGAAGAGGGAAACAACCCAGACCGCCAGCUAAGGUCCCAAAGUCAUGGUUAAGUGGGAAACGAUGUGGGAAGGCAUAGACAGCCAGGAUGUUGGCUUAGAAGCAGCCAUCAUUUAAAGAAAGCGUAAUAGCUCACUGGUCGAGUCGGCCUGCGCGGAAGAUGUAACGGGGCUAAACCAUGCACCGAAGCUGCGGCAGCGACGCUUAGGCGUUGUUGGGUAGGGGAGCGUUCUGUAAGCCGUUGAAGGUGACCUGUGAGGGUUGCUGGAGGUAUCAGAAGUGCGAAUGCUGACAUAAGUAACGAUAAUGCGGGUGAAAAACCCGCACGCCGGAAGACCAAGGGUUCCUGUCCAACGUUAAUCGGGGCAGGGUGAGUCGACCCCUAAGGCGAGGCUGAAAAGCGUAGUCGAUGGGAAACAGGUUAAUAUUCCUGUACUUGGUGUUACUGCGAAGGGGGGACGGAGAAGGCUAGGCUAGCCGGGCGACGGUUGUCCCGGUUUAAGCAUGUAGGCGGAGUGACUUGGUAAAUCCGGUUGCUUAUCAACGCUGAGGUGUGAUGACGAUGCACUACGGUGCAGAAGUAGUUGAUGCCAAGCUUCCAGGAAAAGCCUCUAAGCAUCAGGUAACAUUAAAUCGUACCCCAAACCGACACAGGUGGUCAGGUAGAGAAUACUCAGGCGCUUGAGAGAACUCGGGUGAAGGAACUAGGCAAAAUGGUGCCGUAACUUCGGGAGAAGGCACGCUGGCAUUAGGUAAAGAGACUUGCUCUCGGCGCCGAAGCCAGUCGCAGAUACCAGCUGGCUGCAACUGUUUAAUAAAAACACAGCACUGUGCAAACACGAAAGUGGACGUAUACGGUGUGACGCCUGCCCGGUGCUGGAAGGUUAAUUGAUGGGGUCAGCCUUACGGCGAAGCUCUUGAUCGAAGCCCCAGUAAACGGCGGCCGUAACUAUAACGGUCCUAAGGUAGCGAAAUUCCUUGUCGGGUAAGUUCCGACCUGCACGAAUGGCGUAAUGAUGGCCAGGCUGUCUCCACCCGAGACUCAGUGAAAUUGAACUCGCUGUGAAGAUGCAGUGUACCCGCGGCAAGACGGAAAGACCCCGUGAACCUUUACUAUAGCUUGACACUGAACAUUGAGCCUUGAUGUGUAGGAUAGGUGGGAGGCAUUGAAGUGUGGACGCCAGUCUGCAUGGAGCCAACCUUGAAAUACCACCCUUUAAUGUUUGAUGUUCUAACUCGGCCCCGUAAUCCGGGGUGAGGACAGUGUCUGGUGGGUAGUUUGACUGGGGCGGUCUCCUCCCAAAGAGUAACGGAGGAGCACGAAGGUUAGCUAAUCACGGUCGGACAUCGUGAGGUUAGUGCAAAGGCAUAAGCUAGCUUGACUGCGAGAGUGACGGCUCGAGCAGGUACGAAAGUAGGUCUUAGUGAUCCGGUGGUUCUGAAUGGAAGGGCCAUCGCUCAACGGAUAAAAGGUACUCCGGGGAUAACAGGCUGAUACCGCCCAAGAGUUCAUAUCGACGGCGGUGUUUGGCACCUCGAUGUCGGCUCAUCACAUCCUGGGGCUGAAGUAGGUCCCAAGGGUAUGGCUGUUCGCCAUUUAAAGUGGUACGCGAGCUGGGUUUAGAACGUCGUGAGACAGUUCGGUCCCUAUCUGCCGUGGGCGUUGGAAGAUUGAGAGGGGCUGCUCCUAGUACGAGAGGACCGGAGUGGACGAAUCACUGGUGUUCGGGUUGUCAUGCCAAUGGCAUUGCCCGGUAGCUAAAUUCGGAAGAGAUAACCGCUGAAAGCAUCUAAGCGGGAAACUUGCCUCGAGAUGAGUCUUCCCUGGGGCUUUAAGCCCCCUGAAGGAACGUUAAAGACUAUGACGUUGAUAGGCUGGGUGUGUAAGUGCAGCGAUGCAUUGAGCUAACCAGUACUAAUGAUCCGUGAGGCUUAACCUUACAACACCAAAGGUGUUUUG
This 2936-nucleotide ribosomal RNA is filed under the name Yersinia aleksiciae. RNAcentral describes it as "bacterial LSU rRNA". It matches the Rfam family "Bacterial large subunit ribosomal RNA". Lineage: Bacteria; Pseudomonadati; Pseudomonadota; Gammaproteobacteria; Enterobacterales; Yersiniaceae. The record is from RNAcentral.